RNAcentral lists this ribosomal RNA (2798 nucleotides) under Gigaspora margarita. Its description in RNAcentral is "large ribosomal RNA subunit". It matches the Rfam family "Bacterial large subunit ribosomal RNA". The record is from RNAcentral. Lineage: Eukaryota; Fungi; Glomeromycota; Glomeromycetes; Diversisporales; Gigasporaceae.
AUCCGCUCCGAUCUGAUAUGUAAAUCCAAGUAAGUAAAGGGGCCUCUAGGGAUGUCUAGGCAAUGGUCCGGUAAGAGGAAUCUUGCCUAAGAGUCGUAGGAACUUUCCUAUCCUCGAUCAAUCUAAAGGAUGUUCCCUAUUACCCUGGGAACUGAAACAUCUAAGUACCAGGAGGAAAGAAAAUCAACCGAGAGUCCAGAAGUAGUGGCGAGCGAACCUGGAGUAGCCAUCAAAGGGGAACCUUCCUCUUGAGGCUAAGUAUGGACCAAUGACCGAUAGAGCAGAGUACCGUGAGGGAAGGAUGAAAAAGCAGGUAGAAGACUGGUGAAAAGAGCCUGAAGUAGAGGCUCCAGAAGCAGCUGGUAUCAUCAGACCCGAACCCAGGUGAACUUGCCAUGGCCAAGUGUUAAGACUGAACGGGUGUCCGUUGCAAGGGGCUCCGAUGAGCUGUGGCAAGGGGUGAAAGGCCAAUCUUACCUGGAGCUAGCUGGUUUACCGCGAAACCGUUACUAGCUGGUACGGCACUGGAAUGCGUGCAUCACUGCUUGAACGGGGGGCUAUAAUGGCUCUAUCGUCCCUUUCUAACCCCGGAAUUGCUAGUAUACAAAGGUGGGUAAUCAGACCAUUCAUGAUAAGGUGAUUGGUCAAAAGGGCAACAGCCCUGAACAGGGGGUAAGGUCCCUAAGUUCUACUGAGUGAUAACAAGGCAGUCCUCACCAGAGUCUUUCCACCAAGUGGGCUUGGAAGCAGCCACCUUUUUGUGAAAGCGUAACAGCUCAGUGGUAAUUAUCGGGUAUAUUUGAAGUCAAAGUGAGGGCGCCGAUAAUCUAACGGGUCUAAGUAGAAGUCUCGGGGUAGCGGUACUCCCAGCAAAUGGAUUGAAGCUGGGUCAUCGACCCGGUGGACAUAGCCGGGGUGAGAAUGCUGACAUGAGUAGCGUUAAAGCAGGGGAUAUCCCCUAAUCGCCGUAAGCAGAAGGGUUUCAUGAGUAAGGUGAAUACCACCAUGAGUAAGGCUCCGGCCUCUAAGGCACCGGAUACUUCCCGAGUCCCGAUGAGUCACUCUAACUGAUCCCCAGUAACCUAUCUUUAAAGAUUACCUAAACCGUACCCUAAUCCGACGCAGGUCUGCAGGUUCACGAUACCUAGGCGUAGAGGAAAUCCUCUUGAAGGAACUCGGCAAUCUAACCCCGUAACUUAGGGAGAAGGGGUGCCAUGGCGGCACUAAAAAGGGGGGCGCGUCUGUUUACUUAAAAACCGGACUCUGCUAACUCAUGCGUGGAUGUAUAGAGUCUGAUACCUGCCCGAUGCUAGUUAAUGAACUUAGCCGUUCAAGGAUGGCAAGGUAACCUCUAGUUAAUGGCGGCUGUAACCUUGACGGUCCUAAGGUAGCGAAAUUUCUUGGCAUUUAAAUGAUGUCCCGCAUGAAAGGUUUAACGAUGCUCCCACUGUCUCCAAGAGGACCUCGGCGAAAUUGAAUUAUCCGUGAAGAUGCGGAUUACCCCCAGGUAGACGAGAAGACCCUUUGAAGCUUGACUGCAUCUACCUACUCUGGUACCGGUACUCGGGAAGGAGUCUACAAGGGAGUUGACUAGACACCAGUGAGAUACCUUGACCUAGGUACUAGUAACUCAAUAAAUGGUGGUUAGAAGGCAGUUUUUUUGGGGCGAAAUCCUCACCUAAAGUAACUGAGGAGUCCGAAGGUGUGCAUAUCCUAGGUAGGUAACCUAAUUAACCCGUUGGAGAGGGUAAUAAAAAGCGCAAUGGCAUAAGCAUGCUUGACUGCAUGAGCUACAACUCUAGCAGGAAAGAGAUGGGCCUCAAGGCCCAUGAACCAAAGCUUUGGUUCAUCCGCCCCUAGUUAUCCCCCCUUUUGACGAGGUUCAGUCCGCACUGUUAAGGGCGGAUCGAGUCGUCCUUAAGAAAAAAGGAGGCCUCCGUUGGAGGCCCCCCUAAACCCCCCGGCCUUUAGAGUGCGGACCUUAAGCUUGAACCCUCUACUUGAACCCUGUAUAGUACUCCACCUUAAUUGGCUUAAGAGGGCGGGCCCCAAGGCAAUGAUUCGUCUUAUAUAAACAGACGAAAAGCUAUAUUAAAUUACUGUGAUUGCCAGUAACGGUUUUAUUGCUCAAAUUUGAAAGUCUUCAUUGACUUUUUCCAUGAGGCGUCGAGUUUUCCAUGCAGUAGAGCCUAAGGACGGAUUUAUCGCCUUUUAUAAGGCGCGACGUCCGAGUAGAGUAACAACAGGGGGCAGCUAGGGGCUUUAGGCAACUAGGGCAUAGUGACCCGGUGAUACAUUAAGGGAUGGUCAUCGAUCAACGGAUAAAAGCUACUCAAGGGAUAACAGGCUGAUCCCCCGCGAGAGUCCAUAUUGACUGGGGGGUUUGGCACCUCGAUGUCGGCUCAUCCUAACCUAGAGCUGAAUAAGGUUCUAAGGGUUCGGCUGUUCGCCGAGUAAAAGGGUACGUGAGCUGGGUUAAGUACGACGCGAGUCAGUACGGCUUCUAUCUUCUGGGGGGAGAAGGAAGUAUCGAGGAAGCUGGCAGUGGUACGCAAGGAUUCUGCUGAAAUUACCUCUUGUGUACCUGUUGUUUAAGGUAACUAAAGAAGUGCCUGAGCAUAGCAGGGUAGCUACGUAAGUAAUAGAUAACCGCUGAAUCCAUAUAAGCGGGAAACUAACCCUUUUAACUUCCUUCCUUAUUAAGACUUAAGGAAUAAUACCUUAUUAAUAGGUUGACAGUGUAAUUGUGGUAACGCAUUUAGCUAUUUAAUACUAACAGUCAAGUAACUUGGAUUUAC